This 320-nucleotide long non-coding RNA is filed under the name Gallus gallus (chicken). The record is from RNAcentral. Lineage: Eukaryota; Metazoa; Chordata; Aves; Galliformes; Phasianidae.
UACUAUUCUAUGCAACGUGGGCAGUCCUCCUGAAUUGGCUGUCAGGAUUCUGCCCAGCUCUCACUGAAGUCAGUGAGAUUUCUCACACAAAUUGUCUAACAGAAUUUAUCACCGACUGAGCUGCUGUUUCGCCUGUACAAAAAAAACAGUUGUAACUAAGCAAUGGAGCAAACAGAAUGCCAAAGAUUUGGACCUUACAUCUCAACCUUCUGCUGGGUAUUGUAAAGAGAUCAGUAUAUUCUUAUUUUGCUGUCACAUACGAGGACAUCUGAAGUCAAAUUGAGAUCUGCUGUGACUGGAUGCAGCUCCACCAAGCUCAG